UGGGGAAUAUUGGACAAUGGGCGCAAGCCUGCUCCAGCCAUGCCGCGUGAGUGAUGAAGGCCCUAGGGUUGUAAAGCUCUUUCACCGGUGAAGAUAAUGACGGUAACCGGAGAAGAAGCCCCGGCUAACUUCGUGCCAGCAGCCGCGGUAAUACGAAGGGGGCUAGCGUUGUUCGGAUUUACUGGGCGUAAAGCGCACGUAGGCGGACUAUUAAGUCAGGGGUGAAAUCCCGGGGCUCAACCCCGGAACUGCCUUUGAUACUGGUAGUCUAGAGUUCGAGAGAGGUGGGUGGAAUUCCAAGUGUAGAGGUGAAAUUCGUAGAUAUUCGGGGGAACACCAGUGGCGAAGGCGGCUCACUGGCUCGAUACUGACGCUGAGGUGCGAAAGCGUGGGGAGCAAACAGG
RNAcentral lists this ribosomal RNA (404 nucleotides) under Actinomycetes bacterium. RNAcentral describes it as "Actinobacteria bacterium partial 16S ribosomal RNA". It matches the Rfam family "Bacterial small subunit ribosomal RNA", at positions 355 to 776 of the family's 1533-position model. The record is from RNAcentral. Lineage: Bacteria; Bacillati; Actinomycetota; Actinomycetes.